RNAcentral lists this small RNA (538 nucleotides) under Papiliotrema laurentii. RNAcentral describes it as "eukaryotic LSU rRNA". The stretch from base 145 to 298 matches the Rfam family "5.8S ribosomal RNA". The record is from RNAcentral. Lineage: Eukaryota; Fungi; Basidiomycota; Tremellomycetes; Tremellales; Rhynchogastremaceae.
UCCGUAGGUGAACCUGCGGAAGGAUCAUUAAAGAUUGACCGAAAGGUCUUAUCUCUAUAUCCCUCACCUCUGUGAACUGUGGACCUCCGGGUCUGUCUUAACAAACAUCAGUGUAAUGAACGUAUAUAUCAUUAAACAAAACAAAACUUUCAACAACGGAUCUCUUGGCUCUCGCAUCGAUGAAGAACGCAGCGAAAUGCGAUAAGUAAUGUGAAUUGCAGAAUUCAGUGAAUCAUCGAAUCUUUGAACGCACCUUGCGCCUUUUGGUAUUCCGAAAGGCAUGCCUGUUUGAGUGUCAUGAAAUCUCAAUCCCCCCGGGUUUAUGAUCUGGGUCGGACUUGGACAUGGGCGUCUGCCGGUCACACGGCUCGCCUCAAAUGACUUAGUGGAUCUCUCUGCAUCCGUGACAGACGUAAUAAGUUUCGUCUUGUCCCUUGCUAAUGAGUCUGCUCAUAACCUGCCAUCGCGCACUUUUAGACUCUGACCUCAAAUCAGGUAGGACUACCCGCUGAACUUAAGCAUAUCAAUAAGCGGAGGA